UGUCAAUCUGUUCUGGUGGAUCACAUCUUUGUGUUGUUGGAAGUUGCAAGAACUUUUCUGAUAGAUUUCAGCAGAACUAAGAAUUACUUGAUUCUAUUGUUGACUUGAUCUCUGCUUUUUGAAACUUUGGACCAGUCUGCGGGUGAGAUGAGUCUUCUGCUUAUUAACACAAGUAUGAAAAAUAGCUCAUGUUCAAGAUCACAGCAUGCAUAGGAGUCCAAACCAUCUUGAGAUAUUGGACAAAGGAAUUAGAGGUCAGCUGGGCAGAAAAAUGUCAGUGUCUUAUGUCUACGCUGGAUAGAAGAAGAAUUAAGAGACUUAUUGAUUCGAGGAAGAUUUAGACCAGUCACUGAGGAGGAACUAGCAGGAAGAGAUUUUCAAGGCAGGUCCUUGGGCUGUGUGUGGCAAUUGGGCACGUACCUGUUGGAAAUGCUUCAGGCAGAGAGCAACCUGUCUGUAGAGCCCCGGUACAGCAGGGUGCUGGCCUGAAACCAAUGUUCUGUGGGACUGGAGCCAGAAACAGGAUCAGGGUUGCAGGAAGAACCCUGAAAAGAAAGGCUCUUCUUUCAGAAAGUGGAGCUCCAUGAGCUGUCGGCAUCCCAGGGGCAGAGCAGAGGCAGAUUUUGGCUGUGAAGUUGACCCAGCCAAUGCCACGCAGGACAAGGUGGCAUUGAGAAGGUCCACAGCAGCAGCAUGUGUGCUGGAGGGGAACCACAAGCCGUGAAGGAUAGGGCAAAAGUGCCCGCUUCAUAAAUACACAUAAACAAACAAAACAGCUCACCAGCAGACAAAAUUCAGUGCUUCAGUGACCAUGGUUUCUCCUCUGCGAAGGCCCUCCUGUUGCCUUAGAAAAUUAUCAUCCCGUUUACUUAAUUAGGCUGACUCCAAGCUUUAGGCAUCGGCCUGCCAAGAUGAUGCACACAGCUCUUGUCUAUUUGCCCUCAGCAAGCUUGCCUGCCUUGCCCUCUUCUGUGCUCUGAAACCCAGAAAUUCCACACAGAUGGUAUUUUUUAAGGUGUUUCUAAUAGCAAUGAUUUGGAAGGGAAUGCUGAGCCUUCUUGAAAUAUGGAGGAGACAUUGACGAGACCACUGUGUUUUCUGUUUGCGUGUGAAUGACAGAUGCUAUUCACAUCAAACAGAGGAUGCAUAAAGUCAUGGUGAUUGUAAAGACGUGGUGGGCAUAUUUCUGCACUGCAAAACUCAGGAACACGGCCUGCCAGGUAGUUCAUCCCCACGUGCUGGAGGAGCCGUGCCCUUUGGUUGUUCAUCAUCAAUAGGACUGAAAGCCUCUUGGAAAAAAAAGAGAGUCAAUGACCUCUAUAGCAUCACGUCAAACUUCCAGACUGCUGAUCAUCACAGUGUCAGUCCUUCAUUUUAGAGAAGUUUCUCUUUUACAGUACUAGCGCGGGGUUCUGGUGGCAGCAUUUGGAGAAGGAAUGGUGAGCUAAAGUGUGAAAAGUGAAUGCAAAAGGCUGUGGAAAGAUGUAUCCACCUGGUUUUACUGAAGAAAACAAUACAGCUCCCCAAGUGCUGGUGAAGCCCUUUCGUUGCUUUUUGCGUGGUUCAGCUCCUGCUUCCCUCUGAUUUCGUUAGUGUUUGGCCGAAUCCCAAUUCCUUUUGAAGAUGAUUAAUUGCAGAACAGCUUAUCCUUAUUAGUGGUACUCAGACCCAACUGAAUUUACCAAAGAAGUAAUUACCAGGGUCUUGGUGAUGGGUUUCCUAUUGAAAACGCUUGGGUUGACUGCAGGAGGAGCUGGGAACCAGGGUUUCCCAUGGCUUUGGACAGCUGGGAAACACAUUUCAGCCACAAAAGCACUCAGGGACCUCUAGCCCUCGCAUCCACAUCCAAUGUCCUGUCCCCACCAUCACUGGCCCUGUGCCGAGGAUCACGUGGCACCGUGAUGGGAUCACACGUUUACCAAAGCCACUCUUGUCACCGUAUGGGAACACAAUGUUUCUCCCUGCCUCUAGAAGCUGAGAAUUGGAAGAGGUCAUGAACAUCAACAAAUAUUGUCCAGAUUUUCUUCAGGUCCCUUUGUUGCUAAGGGAGUUUGACACUGCCAUGAUGAGCACUGCAGGAAUUCAGAAUGCACCAGCAUGAAUUGUAGAAUCAUAUACUGGUUUGGGUUGGAGGGGACCUUUGAGAUCAUGUAGUUCCAAUCCUCCUGCUAUAGGCAGGGACACCUCCUCUAGACCAAGUUGCUCAAAGCCCCAUCCAGCCUGGCCUUGAAUGCUUCCGGGGAGGGGGCAUCCACAGCCUCGCUGGGCAACCUGUUCCAGUGUCUCACUACCCUCACAAUAAAGAAUUUCUUUCUGAUAUCUAGUCUAGAUCUACCCUCUUCUGCUUUAAAGCCAUUUCCCCUCGUGCUUUUGAAGGAGAAGCAUUUUUAUGGGUAACCACACACUUUACUUUAGGAAGUAUUUACACAGCUGUGACCUUUUUGAACGAUAAGCUCCCCUGGUGUUUGGGAGCAGUGUCAUCUUCAAAUGGCAUGGCUAGACCUAGAGGUUGCCUGCUUGAGGGCCCUGCCCACCCGUGAUCUUCUCCCCCUCUCCCUCUACCUCUUAAGUUCUUUACAAGGAGAGUGGUGAGGUGCUGGAACGGGCUGCCCAGAGAGGCUGUGGAUGCCCCGUCCCUGGAGGUGUUCAAGGCCACGUUGGAUGGGGCCCUGGGCAACCUGGUCUAGUAAAUGGGGAGGUUGGUGGCCCUGCUAGCAGGGGGGUUGGAGAUUCAUGAUCCUUGAGGUCCCUUCCAACCCAGGCCAUUCUGUGAUUCUGUGAUUCUGUGUGAUUCUGUGAUACCUGGAGUAUCCCACCCCCCUAUGCCCCUGUCUCACCCCAGCUCCUCUCCUUGUCCCGGCCACUCCCAGCCCUCACUGCUUACCACCUCCCUUCCUCUUCUACAGAUCCACUGCUGAAAAAGAGACAUAAAUCCAAAAACAUCACUGGUGCCUCAUGUGCAAACACUUUAACAUUAAGCUGACACAGUCCUGUUGUUCA
This 3000-nucleotide long non-coding RNA is filed under the name Gallus gallus (chicken). Lineage: Eukaryota; Metazoa; Chordata; Aves; Galliformes; Phasianidae. The record is from RNAcentral.